GGGUACUCCGGUUUCCUCCCACAGUCCAAAGACAUGCAGAUGAAUGCAGAGGAAGACCUUGCCUGGUGGAAGAGAAAGAAAUAGUUGCAUGAUAUGGGGCCACUUUUAAAGAGAGUAGACAUAGUCCAUUGUGGUGUACUGAACCUGCCUUUUAUUGCUAAUAUUUAACAAUUGUAAACAACUGCAUGUUUUGAUCAACAUUUAAAGAUUUUUUAAAAGAACAAUACAUGUAGGCCUUAACUUGGAUUUGUGAUUAAAUUUAGAGGCCUAUUUCUUUUUUUUUCUUGUUUUUACAGUCAGCUUUCUGAGUUCUGCAAUCAUGAACAUGGAUCUGCUAAACCGAGUUUGUGAAGAAAAACUAUUUCCUGCAUUUAUUUGUAUUUCAAAGUAAACAAAAAUGUUGACUGAA
This is a long non-coding RNA of Anguilla anguilla (European eel), 409 nucleotides long. RefSeq lists it as uncharacterized. The record is from RefSeq and is a predicted model, not a curated record. NCBI's taxonomy places the organism in Eukaryota, Metazoa, Chordata, Actinopteri, Anguilliformes, Anguillidae. The transcript has 2 exons.